AACGAACGCUUGCGGCAGGCCUAACACAUGCAAGUUGAACGAUAGGCUGGCUUUUGUCAGCUGAAAGUAGCGAACGGGUGCGUAACACGUGGGAACAUACCUCUAGGAGGGGGACAGCUACGGGAAACUGUAGUUAAUACCGCAUGACCUCUACGGAGCAAAGAUUUUUUCGCCUAGAGAUUGGCCCGCGCUCGAUUAGAUAGUUGGUGGGGUAAUAGCCUACCAAGUCUGCGAUCGAUAGCUGGUUUGAGAGAAUGAUCGGCCACACUGGGACUGAGAUACGGCCCAGACUCCUACGGGGAGGCAGCAGUGAGGAAUAUUGGACAAUGGGGGAAACCCUGAUCCAGCCAUGCCGCGUGAGUGAUGAAGGCCCUAGGGUUGUAAAGCUCUUUUGGCGGGGAAGAUAAUGACUGUACCCGCAGAAAAAGCCCCGGCUAACUCCGUGCCAGCCGCCGCGGUAAU
RNAcentral lists this ribosomal RNA (462 nucleotides) under uncultured bacterium. RNAcentral describes it as "bacterial SSU rRNA". It matches the Rfam family "Bacterial small subunit ribosomal RNA", at positions 29 to 524 of the family's 1533-position model. The record is from RNAcentral.